GAUUGAUGAGAAGAUUCCAGAAAUGAUGAGAAGAUUCUAGAAAUGAAGAGUAGCCAAGGAGUCACAGGAAAACAGAAAUGAGUUUCUCCAUCCUUCAACACACUGUGAGAACUGUGACUAUUCACUGUGUGGUGGCAACAUCCAUUUAAACUGCCCUCGCUCAUCAGUGUUACAGGUUUUCCUGUGCAUCUGAGAGUCCAAGAAAUCUAAUCCACCAAGAUGAUCUGCUAUUGUAAACAUCGCUAUGAAACCCAACUGAAAGCCCAGUGUUGAAGAUAAACUCAUGAAGCUGAGUUCAUGCAACUCUGUCACAGAAAAAGUCAGGAGAUGUUGCUGUUUCUAACAGAGCUGAAGCUCCUAACGUAUUAAUAAAUGUGGAAUAUAGGAAUCAUGAAAGCCAGAGUCAAGAGUGAAGAAUAAGGAAGGAGACACCUAUGAUCAGAAGAGAGAUGCUGGAGGACAAUAUAUGGGGUGGAGCUGAAAGAAGAAACAAUGUAUCCCGCCUCUGCAGCUGCACUGCAAGGGCUGACACAAGAGAAGAUAGCAAAGCAGGAUCCAAAGCUCCUGGAGGAGGAGAAGAGACUCCUGACAGCCACUGAUUUGAGCACUUGGAACUAGAUCUUUAAACGGAGUUUACAGUAUAGCUAAAGGAAAUAGCCUCGAUUUAUGCCAAAGCCUGAUCUGUGAAUGAACCGUCCUGGGAAUACACUUAGCUCUGACUUGGAAGGAAGGGAGAAAAGCCUUUGCAGAGCAAAUUUAUUACAAGAAUUCAUGUCACAGUGGACUUACUUCUGUCCCUAAAGUUUCGCAAUUUAAAAUGCAAGGCACAUCUCUGCUUCCGUGUGUAUGUAUGGACAUCUGCUGCAGUCAGAAUUCUUUCAGCACGUGGUACUUCAGCAGUACAUUCCUCAAGAUGCAAGUUUCAAGACCCUGAAAGAUGGGAAACCAGAGCAUCAUUUUUCAGACAUGAUCCUGUGGACACAUGCCUGGAAGCAGUUGCUAGUAGAUGACAUGAUGAAAUUUAAAGUCAGAAGUAUCGAUUGAGGCUUAUGGGUCAAGGAGCUGCACUUUAUCAUGGCGAGAAAGACACAGCAUCAGGGUACAAAUGUGAAAUGCUCCCAUUAAUCCUUAUGGGAAAUUCAGAAAUUGACAGAAGAAAACAAAGGAGAAAAAAAUGCACUGAAGACACUGGUGUUCUGACCAACAGAACUGCAGCGGCAAAGAUCAUGGCAGGCAGCAACUGUGCAGCUGCAGAGGCACAACAUGCAGCUGCUGCAGUGGCAUCAAAACCUCCAUCAACACCCCAGGAAGACUAGGUUCUGAGUCCCACAAUGAUUCUGCCCUCCCCGGUGACCACUACAGGCCUGUCCCCAUUCUCAUGAGCACUGGCCACUAGCCAGCUGUAUUUGGGGAUGUUCAUAGGGGUGGGAAAGUAUUUUCUCCUCUCCAGGAGGAAAUAAUCUCAUGAGUGCCUGACUGAAAAGACUUCAUUCUAGAAUUUACAUUCAUUAAAAAUAGGGGGAUCUUUACAAAAUGGGAUAUCUAGUCAACUUGUCACACAAGUUAAAUUCUCACGAUCUCCUGCGACCUUGGAAAGGAAAGAAUGCUACCACAAGAUCUUUUUGGGAUAUGGUGUUCCUUCACUGUGGAUUACUAACUUCUAAAAUUACUUAGAUUUAGAAAACUAGACAGUUUCCCAAAGGUACUUGAAGGGCUCUGUCCAAAGUUCAAGCUGUGAACAGUAUAUGGACAUUUAAGACACAAACCACGAUUUGUAAACUUCACAAGA
Mastomys coucha (southern multimammate mouse) is the source of this 1789-nucleotide long non-coding RNA. RefSeq lists it as uncharacterized. Lineage: Eukaryota; Metazoa; Chordata; Mammalia; Rodentia; Muridae. The transcript is spliced from 8 exons. The record is from RefSeq and is a predicted model, not a curated record.